RNAcentral lists this ribosomal RNA (606 nucleotides) under Bacillus subtilis. RNAcentral describes it as "bacterial SSU rRNA". It matches the Rfam family "Bacterial small subunit ribosomal RNA", at positions 618 to 1223 of the family's 1533-position model. The record is from RNAcentral. Lineage: Bacteria; Bacillati; Bacillota; Bacilli; Caryophanales; Bacillaceae.
UAGGGUCAUUGGAAACUGGGGAACUUGAGUGCAGAAGAGGAGAGUGGAAUUCCACGUGUAGCGGUGAAAUGCGUAGAGAUGUGGAGGAACACCAGUGGCGAAGGCGACUCUCUGGUCUGUAACUGACGCUGAGGAGCGAAAGCGUGGGGAGCGAACAGGAUUAGAUACCCUGGUAGUCCACGCCGUAAACGAUGAGUGCUAAGUGUUAGGGGGUUUCCGCCCCUUAGUGCUGCAGCUAACGCAUUAAGCACUCCGCCUGGGGAGUACGGUCGCAAGACUGAAACUCAAAGGAAUUGACGGGGGCCCGCACAAGCGGUGGAGCAUGUGGUUUAAUUCGAAGCAACGCGAAGAACCUUACCAGGUCUUGACAUCCUCUGACAAUCCUAGAGAUAGGACGUCCCCUUCGGGGGCAGAGUGACAGGUGGUGCAUGGUUGUCGUCAGCUCGUGUCGUGAGAUGUUGGGUUAAGUCCCGCAACGAGCGCAACCCUUGAUCUUAGUUGCCAGCAUUCAGUUGGGCACUCUAAGGUGACUGCCGGUGACAAACCGGAGGAAGGUGGGGAUGACGUCAAAUCAUCAUGCCCCUUAUGACCUGGGCUACAACACGA